RNAcentral lists this transfer RNA (71 nucleotides) under Loxodonta africana (African savanna elephant). It matches the Rfam family "tRNA". From Rfam's summary of the family: Transfer RNA (tRNA) molecules are approximately 80 nucleotides in length. Their secondary structure includes four short double-helical elements and three loops (D, anti-codon, and T loops). Further hydrogen bonds mediate the characteristic L-shaped molecular structure. tRNAs have two regions of fundamental functional importance: the anti-codon, which is responsible for specific mRNA codon recognition, and the 3' end, to which the tRNAs corresponding amino acid is attached (by aminoacyl-tRNA synthetases). tRNAs cope with the degeneracy of the genetic code in two manners: having more than one tRNA (with a specific anti-codon) for a particular amino acid; and 'wobble' base-pairing, i.e. permitting non-standard base-pairing at the 3rd anti-codon position. Lineage: Eukaryota; Metazoa; Chordata; Mammalia; Proboscidea; Elephantidae. The record is from Rfam by way of RNAcentral.
GCCGUGGUAGUUCAGUGUUGGAAUUCUCGCCUUCCAUGCAGGAGACCGGGGUUUGAUUCCUGGCCAAUGCA